CUGGCGCUGACCACCGCCGCGCGCACACACACGCACGCACGCACCCACGGACGCACACACCCACGUCUGUCACCACCACCACCACCACCACUUCUACGGUCACGAUGGGCACGCGGCAAUGGGGGGUCAGAGCCUGGCUGGUGGGGUGCCUGGCCAUGCUCACAGUCUACUCGGUCUCGGCCCACGACACCGCCGCGGGGAGGAACGCUGACUUCGAGGCUGCCGUCAUCGAGGACCCUUGCCCGUCCGCUGUUUCUGCCGAUGAAACUCUACGGUGUCGGGUGAAGCGCGAGACAGGGGAGCCCUCAGCCCUCACCCCUGAAGAGCCCUCCAUACUGCUGGUCGUGAAGAAACAACCGGCAAACCAGGAAGACGAGGACAAGGAGGAUGAUCAGGAGUGGGCCCAAUCACUGGUGGAGAUCAACAAGCUUCCAAUGAUGGGGGACGACGUGAUAUCCAAACUCCAUACAGUUGUGAGGCUCCGACGCAACACACCGGAGCGACCACACGCCCAGCCAAGCUACAGGCAGGAAGUGAGGCGGCCAAGAUUUCGACCAUGGGGAGGCAAGCGAAGCGACAACGCCGUAAUAGGACGAGGCAGGCUGGGGGACACUCGGGGCAUAGCAGGACGAGCCAGACUGGAGGAUAUUCUACGAGUGUGGGUUGCCAAUCGAGGAGCCCUGGCCAAUGGGAUGGUCUGGCGUGCUGCUGCGCUUAACCCUGGAUUUGAGGCAGACACGAGGUCCAAUGUUGACACGAAGAGAAUAGCGUUCAGUCCGUGGGCAGGGAAGAGGAGCGAAGAGGAUAAGAGAGGAGGGUUCAGCGCGUGGGCAGGAAAACGAAGUGAGGAAAACUACAAGAGGGGGUUUAGCGCUUGGGCAGGGAAAAGGAGUGAAGACGAGGAUGAGAAGAGAGGGUUUAGUGCUUGGGCAGGAAAGAGAAGCGAAGACGAGGAUGAGAAGAGAGGUUUUAGUGCUUGGGCAGGGAAGAGAAGCGAAGACAAGGAUGAGAAGAGAGGUUUUAGUGCUUGGGCAGGGAAGAGAAGUGAAGACGAGGAUGAGAAGAGAGGUUUUAGUGCUUGGGCAGGGAAGAGAAGUGAAGACGAGAGUGACAAGAGAGGCUUCAGUGCAUGGGCAGGGAAGAGAGACGACGGGGGCGACGAGAAGCGAGGGUUCAGUGCCUGGGCCGGGAAACGCAGCGACAAUGAUUGGGAAGGGACGCGAAGGAAGAGAAGCACCGACAAUGAAGAAAAGCGGAAGUUCAGCGCUUGGGCAGGGAAGAGGAGCGAGGAGAAUGAUAAGAGAGGCUUCAGUGCAUGGGCCGGAAAAAGAAGUGAGGAUGAAGAUAAAAAGAGAGGUUUUAGCGCCUGGGCGGGCAAGAGAAGUGACAACGGAGAUGAUAAGAGAGAAUUCAGCGCUUGGGCGGGGAAGCGAGAUGAGGUUACCGGCGAUAAGCGAGGAUUUAGUGCCUGGGCCGGGAAACGCAGCAAUGAAGAGAGUCGGGCAACAUUGAGCACCUUGGUGGGCAGGAACGAUCCACUCGGCCCUUUUACGUGGAAGAACCAUAACAGCAAUGAGGAAGAGAGGCAGUUCAAUGCUCUAGCGGAAUGGAUGGACCAACUUGGACCGAGGGAGGGCAAGAGAAGGUAGAGGGACAGCAGGGUACGUACAGCAGGCCAAGCUUCGGAGGGCGGCCAACUGCUUCUAGUAACUAAUGUAGGGUUUCUCAGCUUACCAAGAACACAGCCCCCAGAGCCAACAACGACCACCACCACCACCAUCACUACCAGCACCACCCACCACCUCCACAACCUCCUGCUGCCAGUAAUACAUCAGCCUGGACUCAAGACAACCUCAGCCCUGACACCGGCUAGAUGAUACUUCUCAGUGUUGUAGGCCCUAGAUCCUCACCUAACCAUCAGUAAUGCCUCGGAAAUACAAGAAAGUUAAGAUGGCAAUUCAUACAUAUCAACAGUGUUUCAGAAAGGGAGAAGUUAUAUUAAAUGAAAGACAUACUAGACUGAACUGAAGAUAAUGUGGCAAUAGUCAAGAGAUAAUUUCUAUUAAAUAAGAUAGAAAUGCUGGACUGAAUUUACUAUUGUGUGGUGAUGGUUGAGAGAUGAGUUCUGUUGAAUAAUGUAGAAAUACCUGACUUAUUUGAACAUUAUACGUAAAUAGUUGAGAUGAGUUCUAUUAAUAAAAGAGAAAUGCUGGACUAAAUUGAAUAUGUUUGGUAGUAAAUGAGAGGUAAAUUGUGUCAAAUCAAAUGAAGAUGCUGGGAAUGGGUUAAAAUCUACAAUACAACGAAUUAGCCAUAACUUAAACCUGUGAACCUGAUGCUGAAAUUAACCACAAAAAAAUGUACAGAGAGAAGAAAUUUAACUAACCCAUAUUAACCAAAUCAAAUGGACUUCCAUAACUAAAUAUACUAAAAACUGGAGACUUAAAUCAUCUUCAUAUAAUAACAAAGAUGAUUAUAAAUAGAUAUGAAUAGAUUAAGAGGAGGGUAUCAGGACACCUCUUCUCCCGAAAUUGACCUAUCUUUCAGCCACUCCCCUGGACUUUUUUUAGGAGCAGUGAGUAGUGGGCUUUUUUUUCAUCAUUGUUUCCUUUUUUUGUGUGCACUUGACCUAUCCCCUUUGCUGUAAAAAAGAAAAACAAUUACAUACUCUAUUGUAAGAAGGAUAAUUUCAACUGUAUCAUGUUAAUAUGUGCGGUGUAUGUGUGUGGAAAGCCAGAGCAGUCUUAUAAUGAAACAAGAACUCCUAUUAUUACAGAAGCUAAUAAUAAAAAUGAGUAUUACAAGAUGAUGCUGACGACUUAAGAACAGUGUGGUGAUGACGUUAUGGUGCGUGCGCUCGGCAAAGUGAGUGUGGUCUUUUAUGAAUCGAGGACACCGUUGCCAGAUUGUCUAACUCAGAGCAUAGUAUUUACCGGUUUCUGACGCCUAACUAUUGCCAAGAAACAUCAGGAAUUAACUAUUUUAACGACAAUUAUAAGUGAAUCUCCUUAUUGGGGUCCAUGAGACAGUUUUUGGGUCGGAAGUUGGUAAAUAUAAGAGGCUGAGUAAGACAAUCUGGUAUCGUUGAUCAAGGGUCCAGGAAAUAUUAGCCGAGAUGUAAAAAUCACCACAGGACAAAAAAAGUGUAAUCUCUUGUAGAAUAUUUCCCUUGCCUGCUGUUUAGUAUAUCACGGCGUGUGGGUGUGUGGGUGGGAAGGUGGCACAUAAAUUUUCAGGACUCACAGAAAUUGUAAAUAAAAAUGGCUUAUAAAAAUAGUACUGGUGGAAAGAAAAGAGGAAAAAUUUAUUCAUGACAGUAAAAUGAAGAAUAUGUAUGUAUAAAAAAGUCUAUAUGGUAGUAAGAUAAUUAAAUAAUCUCUCUCUCUCUCUCUCUCUCUUACUAUAUAUCUCUCCUCUGAUUCACUUCUGUAGCUUUAGUAAGGCUGGACUAAGGCUGCAAUCUCUCUCUCUCUCUCUCUGGCUUGUCUCAUGUCCCUCAGUAUAGAAGGUUUGAGCAUUCACCUAAAACAACCCCCACUACUAUUACUACUACUACUACUACUACUACUACUACGACUACUGCUACUACCAUUACUGCCAGCACCACCACAAUCCACCACUGCACUGGGCCAAUAACAGCAACAGCACUUCAACGUAACACAACACUGGGAUACAAGAACCCGAGCAGGAUGUUGUGAGUUCAUGUGAUACUAAAUAAAAAUAGAGCAGGCAGUCCAUCUAAUUUUUGUCUCCCCUAUUAACCCCUUGAGUGAGCAUUUCCUACCAGAGGACAUCACCAAGCUACAGGAAUGGAAUAAAAAGUGGCUGCUACAAUUCAAUGAAGAAAAAUGUAGUCAUGCGUUUUGGGAGGGGAUAUCCAGCAUACCAAUACCACAUGGGAAACACUCAACUACCCACCACAGAGGCAGAGAAAGACCAGCUGGGAGUAUAAGUUACCAGGCUAGCAGUGAAGGGAUAUCCAGCACACCAAUGCCACACGGGAAACACUUUCCACAACAGAGGCAGAGAAAGACCUGGGAGUAUAAGUUACCAGGCUACCAGAGAAAGACAAAUCCGUGCCAAUUGCAGCGGACGAGUUAAAAUCUCCAUUACAACAAACUAGCCUAACUUAAACCUGUGAACCUGAUGCUGAAAUUAACAAAACAAGGGAUAUAAGAGAAAAAAAUAAAGAUUCAAUGAAGAGAUGUGAAAAUGAGACAAGGAAGCAAAAAGGAGAGGGAAAUAAAGGAGAAGAAAGGCAUAGAUAAAAUGUGCAAAAGUGUGUAAAUGGAAAUGAAAGAGGAGUAAAGAGAAAAAGGGAGAAAAAUAUAAUAUUCUUCUUUAUAUUUUUUCCCUUUUAUGUGAAGAGAUGUGAAAAAUAGACAAGGAAGCAAAAAGGAGAGGGAGAUAAAGGGAAAAAAAGGCAUAGGUAAAAGGUGCAAAAAAUGUGUCAAUGGAAAUGAAAAGAGUAAAGAGAAAAAAGGGAGAAAAAUAUAAAAUUCUUCUCUAUAUUUUUUCCCUCUUCUUAACGUGACUGGACGAGGCGAAACAAAAGAAAACUCAUCUUGGACUCGACAUUUUCCUCCUUAAUUUUGACAUGACAAGGUAAGGAAAAGGAUAAUGGAAAAAACUGUAUUCCGAUUCUAUAUUCUCUUUUUCUCCUAAGAUGACAAGAUAAAAAAUUAAAUGCCUAACUUUUAAUCCAAUAUUAUCCUCUCAAAAAACAUUAAACACCAAAUUUUCAACCCAAUAUUUUCCUCUUAACCCGGUAGCUGCGGGGAUCAUGUUUCUUAAAGGUCCCUCUAAGUGAGAAAAAUUAGAAAAAAUCAUCACUCACACAAACCAUUUCAUAAUAUAUAUCAACGCAUUUGUGAGCAGUUUAUGCAUCAUUUAUUUUGGGGGGUUUAUAUCAUGGCAAAAAUUUGGCCCAUCACUGGUGCAUGGUAAAGCCACAAAUUUGGCCCAUCGCUGCUACCGGGUUAAAAAGCAAUAAACACCUAAUUUUUAACCCUAUAUUUUCCUCCUAAAAACAAUUAACACCUAAUUUCUAACCCUAUAUUUUCCUCUGAACAUUAAACACCUACUCUUUAACCCAAAAUUUUCCUCUUAAAAAACAAUAAACACCUAAUUUUUAACCCCAUCCAUUCCUCUUUCUUAUUACAACACAAUGCAAGGAGACAGAAUAAAAGAAAUAUCAAUCUUGACUAUAUAUAUUCUUCUUUUACCUCCCAACAACAUGACUGAGAGGGAAAAUACAAGCAGAAUCUCACUUUCGUACAUUUUUCUUUUUCCCUUCAAGCAGUGGUUCUUAAAUGCCCCCUCUAGGAAUGGGUCUUCCCUUCACACACACACCCCUUGCAUAUUACCCCAGGCUCUUAAGAUAAAAUAUUCCAACAACAGACUCUCCACCAAAAACUGACCUCUCUUUUGGCCACUCUCUACUUUUAUCUUUUUUAGGAGCAGCAUUUGGUGGGGUUUUUUUCAUGCCCUUGAGCUGCUUCCUUUCCUGUUAAAAAAAGAAAGAGAAAAAAAAAAAGACACCUCUCCACCUGAAAUUUUGACCUCUCUUCUAGCCUCUCGCUCUGUUUCCUUUCAUCGGAGCAGCAUCUGGGGGGCUUAUUUUUUCUCUUUUUUUUUUUUUGUCGCUUUUGUUUUUGCCCUUGAGCUGCCUCCCUUACUGUACAAAAAAAAAUAAAAGAUCUGAUGUUUUCCCCAGGGCUCACAACCCCUGAAAACUACAAACACCCCUCAGUUUAACCCCUAAAGGACAGCUAACGGGAAUUCCCACUCAGGCGGAGAAAGGCAGAAAGUCGGGGUGCAGGAAUUCCCGUCAUCCGAUUUCCCACCAAGAUUUGUACUUUCCAACAUCAUAUCGUCACCCUCAUAAAAUAAUCGCCUCAGUCAUUUUUCAGCGAUUUCCAGGUUUUGUCUAUAUCAGUUUUUCAGCAUAUGACGCCCAUUUUUGUAUAGUUGCCUUCAUCAUUCAGGGUUUGAGUAUCCUAGAAUUGGUCUCUUCAUUUCUGCCUAAACCUUAAGCUAAAUGAAAUAAUGAUACUUCUUUUCUGAUUUCCUGAGAAGUAGAAAAUAAUGACUCAGGUGGUCUGUUUACGAAGGUGACGAUAUCUCCGCCGUGCUGCAACCGAGGGACUUCUAGUUUCUUUCAUCGGGUAAAUGAAAGAUUGGCGAUGUAAAAGGACUAUGAACUAUUGUGUGUUGGUUUCAAACUGCCACACAGGGCACUGAUGAAGAACACCUAUAUCGCCAAAUUUUAUCAACGCGGCACACACUCACGAGCAGAAAAUCGCCCUCUAGCCCGUCCUUUAGGGGUUAAGAACCACUGCUUUAAGGACAUGAAGAAAGACAUAAACUUACUCUCUAAGGUUUACUGAUACCAGCCAGCCCACCUUAAGACACUGAACACAGACCAAGAUUGAGAUACACUUCAACCCAUCUCUGCAUCACAACACAGAAGACUUCACAUUGGAUCUUUCUGUUGCAUUGCUAGGUCUGUUUGAAUCUCUUGUUCCAUGUGUAAGGCCGUUGUACUGUCUCUCCACUGCACAUCUACAUCAGCUACAGUCCGAAUUACAUAUUAUGACUAGUGUUUGCUUUCCCUAUUUCAAGCUAUGGCAGUAUUUCCUUUUUUCGCGGCAUAUUCACAUUAAUUUACAUCCCCUAUUACGUAAGACUCAAGGGCAACGUUGCCAGACUGUCGUACUCUGCCUCUUAUGUUUGCCGAUUUCCGACCCCAAAACUGCUUUCAUUACCCAAAUAACUGCCUUCGUAUAUGGUUAUCGUUUAAAUGGUUAAUUAUUGGUGCUUCUUGGCAACAGCUAUGGGCCAGAAACCGGUAAAAACGCAGCUCUUGAGUACGAUAAUCUGGCAACCGUGCUCAAGGGCCAAUGAGACGGAGAUGAGCACCGAGGCAAUGCACAACUAUAGUGUAUGCCCUAAACUAUACCUUUACCUAUUUACUUCAUUCUGCAUCCUCUAUUAUAUAUUAUGAACGCAUCUUCUUUCUCUCUAAGGUGGACUCGUAUUGAAAUUUACAGCUUCUAUUGCACCUUCUUCUAGAUAUUAUGACUGUACCUUCUUUCUCUCUAAGGUGCACUCGUAUUGAAAUUCACAGCUCCUAUUACAACCUCUAAUAUAUCAUGACAGAACCUUCUUUUUCUCUACAAUUCAUUCGUAUUAAAUUUAGCUUCUAUCACACACUAUGGCUGUACUUUCUUUCCUUUCAGAGUGCAUUAAAAUUACAUCUAUUAAAAUACCACAGAGGAGUUCAGGAAUAACCUUUACAUGUCCUCAAACAGCCACUGUUUAUCCCUAAGCAAACAUUAAAUUCUAUACCAUACCUCUUCUUUCUCUCCACCCUUCUUGGCAUGCUUAAAAAUUAGAAUACAUCACACUCACAGGAAAUAAACUUAAUAAACUAUAAGCCAAUGGAUGCAGAAAUGAAGCACAAAAAAUAAACUUCAUAAACUAUAAGCCACUGGAUGCAGAAAUUAAGCACAGUAUUAAAAAUAAACAAAAAUUAAGUUUAACACAUCUUUAUACAGAAAGGAACACUACUAAGGCAUUGGAAUGUACGUGAAUGGGAGCGGAUUCCUUUACUGUAAAAAAAAAAAAUGAUGACAGCUGUGGUGGUGGUGGCAAUGGUGAUGCAUGAUAAUAAUGAUGAUGUAUGAGUGGAAAAUGAUGAUGAUGGUGAUGAUGGCAGCAGUAGAGAAAGUGGGAAAGUUGAGAAGCACAAUACAGCAGAGGGCAAAGGAACUGCAUCUGGAAAUCCUUGCCACUAAAACUAAAUGUAAGAGAAAUGUAGACUAUUAAAACUACGACCGAAAACCGCCAAGAAAAUAAAAUAUGAAGAGAAUGUAAUAUAUUGACCAAAGAGAAAAGUAUUACCAAGCAUAGUAAAGAAAUAAGAUCAAUGACAAACUAAACUGAUUGUAAGAGGAAUGUAGACUAAUAAAACUAUGACAGAAAACCACUGAGAAAAUAAAAUAUGAAGAGAACUUAUUAUACAGGACAAAGAGUAAAGAAGUAUGUAGAACCAUUUAGUAGAGAAAUAAAAUCUAUGGGAAACUAAACUAUAUGUAAGAGAAAUGUAGACUAAUGAAACUAAGACAGAAAACCACUGAGAAAAUAAAAUAUGAAGAGAACUUAUUAUACUGGACAAAGAGUAAAGAUGUAUGUAGAACCAUUUAGUCGAGAAAUAAAAUCUAUGGCAAACUAAACUAAAUUCAUGAGUAAUAUAGACUAAUAAAACUAAGACAGAAAAGCAAUGAGAAAAUAAAAAUGAAGAGAAUGUAACAUAUUGACCAAAGAGCAAAGUAUUACCAAGCAUAGUAAAGAAAUAAAAUCAAUAAAAAACUAGACUGAUUGUAAGAGGAAUGAAGACUAAUAAAACUCAGACAGAUAAGCAAUAGAAAAAAAAAUAUGAAGAGAACGUAAUAUAUACUGGCCAAAGAGUAAAGUAGAACGAAGCUUAGUGGAGAAAUAAAAUCAAUGACAAACAAAACCAUAAGUAAGAGGAAAUUAUGACGGAAAACCACUUGGAAAAUAAAAUAUGAAGAGAACGGCCAAAGAGUACAAGACCGAGCUAAGUCGAGAAAUAAAAUCUACGACAAACUGAACCAAAUGUAAGAAGAAUGUAGUAUAAUAAAACAUUGUCGGAAAAACACAGAGAAAAUUAAACCUGUAGACUACGUAAUAUAAGACCAAAGAUCAAACUUAGUCGAGAAGUGAUAUCAAUGGCAAACUAAACCAAAUGUAAAUGAGAUGUAAAGUAAUAAAACUAUAACAAAAAUGCUGAGAAAAAAAAAUCUGAAGGAAACAUAAUAUAUUGGCCAAAGAGUUCAGUAGACCCAAGCUUAGUCGAGAAGUGAAAUCAAUAACAAACCAAAACUGAAUGUAAGACAGACUCGGUUCUUUAAUAAGUUUUGAUUCUUGUCUGCUUCCAUUCAGGACCUGAGCCAUAGUCCAACACAGCAAGUUUGUCAGCUACCGAACCAAACACAAAACACUAUGAAAAUUCCUUAUGCGUACAGAAUUUGGUGUUGAUACAGAAGGUAAGAAAUUUAAGGAACCCACACCAGAAAUUUAGUAUCGAGUUAGUUUAGUUGGCUUAGUAUUGAGUUUAGAGUAGAAAAAACAGACUAUUAUGGAGAAUAUACAUUAGUUUGGGUGCUUACAAUGACACCUGAACUUAGUUAAUAAAUAAAUAAAUAAAUAAGAAAGGAAAAUAAAAAAUAUCACACUCAAGACUCAAGAACUGGAUGAAACCAAAGCAAAGUAUUAAAUAACUAUAUAAAGGAAGAACUGAUUAAAAAAAGAGUAUCCCCUAAAAUUAAACAUUCAACUAAGACACUCAUUAUCACCAUCGACCAGACUAGGCUAAGUUUCCUGAGGUACACACUGGAAUGCGGACAAAGCGAGGCAAAUCAAACCACCGAGGAAGGCAAAACAUAAUGGGCCGUAUUACAAAUCGAAUCCGAGAAGUUUCGGGUCCCUACAGAGUUCAGUUUAGGGGCUGUAUUACAAGUCGGAUCCGAGAAGUUUCGGGUCUCUACAGAGGUCAGGAUGAAUAACUCUGUAGGGACCCAAAACUUUUCAGGUUCAACUUAUAAUACGGCCUAAUGAAAUAGUACAAAUCAGAGACAUUUCGAAGCUGCUUUUACUUAUCAAAUUCACCUAACAAACCUAACCAAACCUGACCAUAGAGAAGAAAAAAAACAUAUAGACAGCAUGAAUCAGAAAAACAUAUAGAGACAGUAUGAAUCAGACAUUACUAAGCUGCUUUUUGUUAUCAAAUACACCUAACAAACUUAACCUAACCUGACCACCAAGAAAAGAAAAACACAUAGAGACAGCAUGAAUCAGAGACAUUACCAGUUAUCAAAUCACCUAAUGAACAUAACCUAACCUAACCACCGAAAAAAGCAAAGCAUACAGAAAGAGCAUUGAUUAGAGAUGUUCCCACGUUUCAUUUAGUUAUCAAACACAAUUAACAAACCUAUCCUAACCUAUUUCCAAGUUGCUUUUAGUUAUCAAACCACCUAAUAAACCUAACCUAACCUAACCUUACCACCAAAAAAGCAAAGCAUACAGAAAGAGCAUUGAUCCAAGGUGUUUGCAAGCUUCCACUUCUAGUUAUCAAGCCAUCUGAUAAACCUAACCUAACUUAACCACCAGGAAAACCAAAGAAAUAGAAAA
Molecule: RNA transcript, 10215 nt
Organism: Eriocheir sinensis (Chinese mitten crab)
Lineage: Eukaryota; Metazoa; Arthropoda; Malacostraca; Decapoda; Varunidae
Exons: 4
Source: RefSeq, a predicted model, not a curated record